Molecule: long non-coding RNA, 1298 nt
Organism: Conger conger (European conger)
Lineage: Eukaryota; Metazoa; Chordata; Actinopteri; Anguilliformes; Congridae
Exons: 4
Source: RefSeq, a predicted model, not a curated record
ACUCACAAAAGGAUUCCUGAAUUUGGAAAAAGGCCUCAUUGAAGGGAGCUGGGGUGAGAAGGCAGGAGAGAUAAGUUAUCAAACAAUAAAGAGCAUAAUAUAUCACUUGACUUCACAAAUGUUAUUGACAUCACAUGAAUCAGAACAAUUCAAUUAAUUAAAAAUAAUCAAGAUCGCCAGCCUUGGGUGGGAUAAAUUAUGAUUGCAAUCUAUGCUUGUGGAGGCAUUACCCCCCCAUGCCCCCUCAUGACACAGAUACCAAGUUGCAGGCUGACACAUGGAGCACAGGUACAGAGGACUGGACCAAGUGUCCUUUCAGCACCUCCAACUCAGUGUCUCCCUGUCCUAGGACUCACCUCCAACUCAGUGUCUCCCUGUCCUAGGACUCACCUCCAACUCAGUGUCUCCCUGUCCUAGGACUCACCUCCAACUCAGUGUCUCCCUGUCCUAGGACUCACCUCCAACUCAGUGUCAACGCCCUGGCUGAAGUGCACGUUAUAUUGAAGUGCAAUGAUGUCUUUGGAUUUGCCCACAUUGAUGGUGAAACUGGGAGAGAAAGAGAGACACACAAGGGAUGGAUGAUGGAUUACCAUGGAUGAAGACAUCAAGAGAUUUAGCAGCAGCAUAAAGAGGUCUCGUAGAGUCAGAGGCAGCUGUGACUCACCUAUCUUCGGGGACACCCUUGAUAACCAGUUUCAUUGUUGAAUAAAAGGAGAGUGGAGUUGCAAAAUCUUUCCUUCAAGCAAGAAAUGGAACUGCGAGUCACCGGUGUCCCUGGAUCCCCUAAGCAUGGUUUCACAAUCAAUGUGGGUGAAUCUGAUUCCAACAUUGCGCUCCACGUCAACCCUCGCUUUCAAGGCUCUGGCCCAGGUGUCAUCGUCCUGAACGUCAUGAAGGAUGGGUUCUGAGGUGCUCAAGUGACAGAUGAAAGAAACUUUCCUUUCCGGCAGGGCGAGGGGUUUGAGGUGUGCAUCACCUUUGCCAAUGAGCAGUUUUACAUUAGCCUGCACGACGGCCACAUGCUGGAGUUCCCCAACCGCCUGAAACAGCCCCAGUACAGAAAAACCUGGUUUACAGCAGACAUCAUAGCAUAUAUCUCAAGUAAAGACCCACCAGGAGGUGCUAGAUAUACCCUUUCUGGCUCCUGAUUGGCUGCUCUGCUUCUGCUUCCUGGUGCCUUCCUACAGCUUUGCUACGAGUGCUACGAUCUCCCAGAGAUCAGUGCCUUUAAUCUUGUGCUUCUCUGCGACAUUUAGACCCUCUGGUGUCUGUCCAAACCCACUGCAUAUGAUAAUCAA